AAAGAUGCAAGUGACUCCCUUGAAGUGGUUUAUGGAAUACUUACUGAACCAAAACUCAGGAACCCAAGGGCAGGUCUAGAUGAUACGGUAAUUGUAUGCUGAUAGCUUAGAGGAAGAUACUUGUAUGCUAUACUUGGAAAGCUACCAUCUAGACUCAGUCCUGAGUGAAUACUGAAAAUGAAUACAAUAUUCAGCUAGAUCUUUCGUGACAUCUCAAGGAAAAUAAUCUGGUUCAAACAACAAAGAUGAGAUGAGUAUUUAUGUAUUUGUACUGGAAAAGUAAAAGAUUCUAAAGAAUCGAAAAAUCAAUUCAUCCAUAUCCCAUGACUCAGCGUAAGUGCAAAUAUAUCUAGCAAAACAGUAAAAGAUAAUCUCCUAGAAAUGGCUGUGGAACAAAAAUGAUUAAAGAAUUUUUACUUCAAAUCUAGCAAAUCCUUCAUCUAUCAAGUUUCUAAAUCAAAUAUAAUGCGCCCUUAGCAUAUAAAUCAACUAACAGGGUGCAAUACGCAAUGGCUCACUCAUCCAUAUAGCACAAAGAAAAAGAUACUAGUUUAUACUAAUAUAUAAAUGCAGGCACUCUUUCUACAUUUUAAUACAACUCUCACUGCUAUUUUCCAAUACCUGAAAAUUUGCAGGCUGCACUUCAAUAAGUACGCUCAACAGAAAUAGUGGCAUUUGGCUCAACAAAAUAUCACAAACUAAUUCAAAAGUUAGAGUUGACCGGAUAUUCUCAAAGCAAAUAAGCCAAAAGGUAACACAAACUAUAAGGGAUCAAGGUACAAGUGCGCAAAAAAAAAAAAUAACGUGGAAUAGUGCUGCUAGACAGAGGACUGGAAACAGUCACAACUAGUUUAUGGAGUUUCUCACCUUGAGUCUUUUCCUGAAAGUCACAGAGGUCAUCAGUACCCAAAUUCUCUACAUAUUGUUUCCUAUAUCCUAUAAAAUAAAACUCUCAUAUCGAAAGAGAAAUCUCAUCUAUCAUCACAGCUUGAUGCAGAAACUUUGGGCUCCAAAAUAUAUAUAUAUAUAUAUAUAUCAUUCAAAUUAUCC
This 1050-nucleotide long non-coding RNA is filed under the name Olea europaea (common olive). RNAcentral describes it as "long non-coding RNA (OEUR_LNC014317)". The record is from RNAcentral. Lineage: Eukaryota; Viridiplantae; Streptophyta; Magnoliopsida; Lamiales; Oleaceae.